UUCAGCAGUUCACAUCUUUUCCUGCUUCUACAUUUUGAAGCUCUCUUUUCUUCUUUUCUUUAUUUUGGAUUGAGACUAAUUCUUUCUUCCAUAUCGAAUCGUGGGCCUCGAGGUCAAACAUGCUCAAGCACCUUGAACCAUUUUCCCUUGAAACUUGAACUGUCUUCCGUCGAAACUGCUUUCCCUUGAAACUUGAGUUGUCUUUCCGUCGACACUGCUUUCCCUUGAAACUUGAGUUGUCUUCCCUUGUUCUCCAGGUGAAAUCCAUUGUUGUCGUUUUGAAUUGUAAACUGAGAUGUUUUCCCUUCUUCAAAUUGUUGAACUUGAAUGUAUUCUUCCGUUAUCCAGGCGGGCUUCUGACUUCACAAAAAUAGACGAAACAAAUAAAACUUUCUACCCUAGUUUGGAAAACUGGGGCUUGUUACUGGAUACUAAUACGAAUUUGAAAACUAAAACUUGAAUUGUAAUACCUCUAUUGUUCAGGCGGGCUCCUGACUUCAAAACUUGAAUGUAUUCCUCUGUUCUCCAGGCGGGCUCCUGAUUUCACAAAAAUAGACAAAACAAAUAAGACUUUCUGCCCCAGUUUGGAAAACUGGGUGCUAGUUACCACAUACUAACAAGGACUAAAACUUGAAUUGUGAUAAGACUGAAAUGCAACUUUAAAGACUGAAAUGUACCUUAAAUUUUGAAAUUUAUCUUAGGUGAAAAAUUUAUCAAAAUAAGAUUUUUAUCUUAGGAGAAAGAUUCAACAGACUAAGACUUUUCUAACUUUGAUCUUAGGUGAAAAAUUCAUCAAACUAAAAUUUUCAUCUUAGGAGAAAGUUUUAACAGACUAAGAUCUUUCUAACUUUGAUCUUAGGUGAAAAAUUCAUCAGACUAAGAUUUUCAUCUUAGGAGAAAGCUUCAACAGACUAAGAUCUUUAUCUUUAUCUUAGGUGAAAAAUUCAUCAGACUAAGGUUUUCAUCUUAGGAGAAAGAUUCAACAAACUAAGAUUUUUAUCUUUAAUCUUAGGUGAAAAAAUCAUCAGACAAGGAUUUUACAUUGGGUGAAAGACUCAACGGACUAAGAUUUUGACUCUAUGAGAUAAUUCAUCAGACUAGUCCAUUUUUGUGUGAUAUCAGGAGGAAGAUUCAUCGGACUGAGAUUUUCACUCUAGGAGAUAAUUCAUCAGACUAGGCCCGAAUUUCGAAUCCAGACUUUCUUAAUCUUUCAAAUUCAAACAUUCCUUUACUUCUUUUCAAAUUGUGCCUUCCUUUCUUCUUCCCAAACUAUGUGUUCCUUUCUUAUCCCAAAUUAUGCCUUCCUUUCUUUUUCCCCGAAUUCUGCCUUCCCCUCUUUUUCCAAAUUAUGCCUUCUUUUAUUUUUUUUCCAACUUUUGUCUUCCAAUGUUUUGCAAAUUAUGCUUUCCUUUCCUUUUUCCAACUUCUGCCUUUAUCUUAGGUGAAAGAUUCAUCAGACUAAGAUUUUUAUCUUAGGUGAAAAAUUUAACAGAUUAAGAUUCCUAUCUUAGAUGAAAGAUUCAACAGACUAAGAUUUUUAUCUUAGGUAAAAAAUUCAUCAGACUAAGAUUUCUAUCAAUUAACCAUUACCUCUGAACUUGUUUUAACUACGCUCUAACUUGAAUUAUCUUCCUGCAGAACUGCUUCCUUAAAUACAUGGUGUUGUCCUCCUCCUAAAAAAAACCACUUCGCUAAAACUAGUGUUUCAUUCCUCCAAAAAUUACUUUUAUUGAAACUGGUGUUUCUUUACUGAAAGCUACUUCCCUCUUCUUCUUUGUAAAAGAAAACUUGUAUUGACCUUCAUGUUCUUCAUAUGGGUACCCGACUUCAAGAAAAUUUUCAACACGACGGAAUUUUUUUUGCCUCGGUUUGAUAAUCUUCCUGUAGCAUAUCUUUUGCCAUCAAUAACAUUUCCAUGCUCAUGUUUUAAAUCAAAGAAAAUUCUGUCAGUUUAACAUACGGUGGUUGGUUGUGGUACUCCUGCUGGGAUAACUUUCCUUUUCUCCUUUCCAUGCUCCGCGUUGUUCGACCAUCUUUGAAACUUGGCUAAUAAUUUCCGCCCUUCUGGACGACUACCUCUCAAUUAUUACUUCCAAUCUUCUUAUCUGACCCCAUAUGUUUUCUAUGACACCUGAUUAGUCUUGAAGAUCUUGCAUGUUUACUAAUUAAUCACUUUCCUCGUCAUUUGUGUCAUCAAACAUACCUUUUCUGCAUUCAAACCCUAUAUCAUCGGUUUGUUACACCGCUCAUGAACUGGCAUUUUCCUGACCUUUGAGUCUUACAUGAAUUCCCAAAUUGCGUUUAUUUCCCCCACAGUAUGUUGUUGCUUCUUGAAUCACAACCCUAGCCCCUUGAACCUGAAGUCUAUUGCUCCCCCAAAGCAUGUUGAGUAUUACCAGCUUAGUGCUCUUGUUGUUUUUCUUAACUUGUGACACUUUGAUAUGCUAGCCAGACCCCCUUUGUGCAAUUGGGAAAGCUGGUGGUAAAUUUUGAAGCCAUUUCUCACUUGUUAUAACCGAUAGACUCAGAAAGAGAAGUAAGCAAACAGAGGAACGAAGAGAAGGACAAAGUAAAGAGAUGAUUCCUAAAGAAGACACUAUGAAGUAAAAACCUAUCAAAUGUGGAUACCAACUCUAAUGACCAUGACAUGCACCUGUAGAUAUUCUGCCAAUCAAACCUGAUGUUCAGCUCUUGUUGUAUCUUUUCGUCGUGAAACUAGGUUUUUGUGCUCCGCUUAUCCAAUCUGAUUACAUUCCUUAUUCGACUUUAACUCUUGUUGUAUCUUUUUGCCGUGAAACUGGGCUUUAAUGCUCCACUUAUUUGAUUCGCUUUCCCUAUUCGACUUGUGGCGCCCAAAGGGUUUUCACCAUCAUGCCUCUCUCAUUUUUCCUUUCUCUCAACUUACUGUCGCCUUAAGGUGCUCGUGAAGGUUUUCACCAAUAUGACUCUCUUAUUUUUUUAUUUCUCUCAGCUUCCAUCACCUUGUUUUAACAUGAGUGUUGCCCCUGACAUGAAUUACCUUACCUGCUUGACUUGGCAUUUCUCAAAGAUUGAUCAUAAGGUCUUUCUUUGGAACGUAAUAUAGGCUUUUGGAUGGGUUACAAAGAAAGGGUAUAAAAGGCUCAAAUCAAUUCAAAAUGGGAUUAAAACUACAACUUUCGAAAUCAGAUCUUUCACAACAACCACAACUUCUACCCUAGUUUCUUGCUUGGGGAUUUUUGGAUUUUUAUUUUGGUAUGACUGAACCUCAGAGAGGCUGCCUACGUACCCUUUCGGGAUUUUUGGAAUUUUAUUUUGGUAUGACUGAACCUCGGAAUAAGGCUGCCUACGUAUCCUUUCGGGAUCAAGUAAAACGUAGUUCACAUUAUCGUAAUUACCUUUGUUGUGAUUCUUUUCUUCUUUUCUUUAGUUUUUCUUUCUUUUGUUGCACCUUUUCAUUUUUCUUCUUUUCUCAUAUUUUCCUUCUCUUUUCUUUCUUUCUGUUUCUUCUUCUUUUUCCUUUCUUUCUUUUUUUUCUUCUUUUCCUUUCCAUUUGCUUAUUGGCGGCACUUGUGUUUCUUACUCGGGCCAUUGAUUCCGAAAGGGGGUAUGAAAGAAAAUAAACACGGUUCAAAAGGGGUGACAAUGAAAAAAGGUAUUUGGAUAGCAGAACAAAUGCCUUCAUCAUUUCAAUCCUCAAGAUAUGCCAAAUGCAAACAAAAUACGAUUAAUGCACAGAAAUUACACAUAGUAUCUCUUGACCGCAUCGAAAUUGAUUGGCCAUUUUCACCUAUUUUCCUGCUACAUCUGUCAAAUAUAAUGUACCAUUGGGCAACACUCUUACUCUUAUUACCACGACCGGCCUUCUGUCAAUUUGGCCAACUGUCUUCAGGGUUGUUCUAUCUGCCCCAGUUUCACAUGAUUCGGGCGUCAAACAACCUCAAAGCGUCCAACUAUUAUUUCCUCAAGUGACCCUAUCAUUUUCAAAAUCGUCUCAUCGUUUCCUGGCUAACGUAGCCCUUAAAUAUCAGACUAAGAACUAUGAGUGCAUGUCAUGUCACUAGAACUAGCAUGAAAAGAAUUGUAGAAAGAAAAAGAGAACUAAACAAAAAUGACUAGAAAUGGUACAAAACAGAGAAUUGUACUAAACAGACGGUGAAAGGGUUUAACAACAAAACAAGCAAUACAAACUGGGAUACAAUCCUAAAACAAACCCAGAUAACACUACAUAAGAUAUGACGACUAAAGGAACUAGGCAAAUAAAAGGAUAGAAUGGUUUGAUUCACAAGACAAUAUCCGGAUUACAAUCCUGAAAAUAACCCGGACAACAAAAAUGACAACAAAAUCAACCACCAAGACUUCUCUCCAGCUGGCCAAGAGAUGAAGCGUCUUUCCAAUUACCAAGCUCGGCAUCUUAGCCUCUAAGUUCUGCAUCAAUAUUGUCAAGAACAUUACCAACUUCGAUAUCAUCAACUUCAAUCAACAAGUUCCCAAGAGGAUUCGCAUGCUCCAUGUCACUGUCAUUAACCACAAUUACCCCUUCUUGAAUCAUUCUUUCUAUUUCCCUUUUCAAUCCUGACAACUUUUCAUAACCACAAUUACCCCUUCUUGAAUCAUUCUUUCUAUUUCCCUUUUCAAAUCUCGACAAUUUUCCACAUUGUGCCCCAGAGCAUUUGAGUGGUAUUCACACAUAUUAGAUGAUUCAAAGCUUCCCGCACGUCGGUCCACCUGAUUUGGAGGAAUGGGUGCAAUCAUGUCAUGUUGUUUUAACUUCUCNNNNNNNNNNNNNNNNNNNNNNNNNNNNNNNNNNNNNNNNNNNNNNNNNNNNNNNNNNNNNNNNNNNNNNNNNNNNNNNNNNNNNNNNNNNNNNNNNNNNNNNNNNNNNNNNNNNNNNNNNNNNNNNNNNNNNNNNNNNNNNNNNAUUCCCCUGGCUUGGAUGUGGGUUAUAAGGUACUUGAAAAUUUUUGCAGAGGCGGGUGGAGAUUUUGUGAUACUCCCGCUCGCUUUCUUGGGUGAUUUGAUGGUUGGGAAACAUACUGGGAUGGAUCAACAGGGUAUGGGUGGUUCGGAGGUGGAUAGUAAUGCUGAGGGAGGUCAUAGAAAACCUAAUGAGGCUGCACAUUUCUCCCAUUUUGAUUGCGAAGGAAUUACCCACUACGGACGCCAUGUAUUGAUAAUAAUCCGGCUCUUGAGCCUAUAGAAAGAUAGUGAUUAACUCGUGGUCAUCCAUGGGUGGCUUAGCUCUAGCUAUCUGCUCUCUCCAUUUGAUGGCAUAUUCCCUGAAACUUUCAGUUGGUUUCUCUUCCAGGUUAGAAAGGAAAAUGCGGUCUGGGGCGACGUCGAUGUUGUAUUGAAACUGUUUGACAAAGGCCCGUGCUAUGUCAUCCCAGACGUACCAGCAAAAUGUGUCUUGAUCCAAAAACCAUUCAGAUGCUACUCCCGUGAGGCUUUCCCCAAAAUAAGCUAUUAGCAAUUCUUCAUUUCUUCCCACAUCUCUCAGCUGAUUGCAAUACCUUUUCAGGUGGNNNNNNNNNNNNNNNNNNNNNNNNNNNNNNNNNNNNNNNNNNNNNNNNNNNNNNNNNNNNNNNNNNNNNNNNNNNNNNNNNNNNNNNNNNNNNNNNNNNNNNNNNNNNNNNNNNNNNNNNNNNNNNNNNNNNNNNNNNNNNNUACAUCGGGGAAUAUGCAUAGAUCUCUGAAGGCAACACUCUUUUGACCUGCCAUUGCUUGCGUGUUUUUCAGCCAUUGUUCCAAUCUUUUCACUCCUUGGGCUAUUUCUUCCUGUACUCUCAUUCGGGCAAGCUUCUCGAUGUUAGCAGGAAGAUCAAAUGAGUACGAGUGGUACUCAGGAGCGUGGCACUGUUCUUGCUGUGUAGAAAAUUGUGACUCAUGACGGGGCUCUGCUUGACCAUUGGCCCAUGCUUGAUGUAUUUCAGUCAUUUUUCUGUUUUGGUGUUAUAUUUACUUCAAACACCGUAGACUCUAGUUGAACCCUCUGACCCUGAGUCUCUUGAGCACUUGUAAAAACUACGAUGUCGGUUAUCAUUUUUACUCAGAUUUUUUGUUUCCAGCUUACCACAACCAACCACCUAAACUUUCUUCACAAUUCAAAACAAAACAUGUUAGAAUGGAUUGGGUCGGUCCUCAUUGUUCACAACAUCUUUUUCCAUUCUUUUAAUUUUUGUUUUUCAUUUUUUUCGUUGUGGUUGUGGUCGAAUCCUAUGUAGAUUGCCAAGGUAUCGUGACCCGUACAAAUCAGACUAGGCGUAGUUCGUGCCGAUAAAAGGUAAACGACAAUAAAAUAUUUAAGGAAUUUUCUAUUUUUUAUAAUAACCACAAAAUAUUUUUGGUAUUCACUAGACCACUGACUCUUUUCUUAUUUUUUUCAAAUGAAAAUAAACGACCCGGUAUUGCAAACACGGCCUUCUAACUCCAUGGGGCGAAGAUUUGAACAAAGGUGGCUAUCUAUGCAAGGUUAGCCUUCCGGCAUUCCGUUUGGGAACAUUUGGAUAUUUUUGACAAAAAAGGCAUCACCUGGUUUACUUAUGACAUAAAUUAAAAGUUUGACAUUUUUUGGGCUAUUUUUUGUAAUGGGAAGGUUGGACCCGAUGAGGGUUGCCUACGUAUCUCACGCCCUGUGAGAAUCAAACCAUGCGUAGUUCGGGCAAAUUACCGAACUAUUUUAAGACAAGAAUCUUUUUCAUUUUUAUUUUUGGCAUUUCAUAAGCAAAAAUAAAUUAAAAAACUACUUUUAAAAACAAGACUCUUUUUCUUUUCUUUUUCAACAACAAUAAAAUAGCCUAAAAAUAAAAGACUUUUUCUCCUUUUUUUUUCAUUUUCUAUGCCAGAACCAACUAUUUUUCUCUUUUUUUUUAUUUUCAAAACCAAGACUAAAAUAAAAGACUCUUUUUCCUUUCACAUUUUUCAUGGCAAAACAAAAUAUUAUACCUUUUCUAUUUUUGAAAACAAAACAAAAUAAAAUUUUUCUUUUCAUUUUCAACAAACAACCUAUUUUUUCCAAUUAAAAAUAAACUCUUUUUCAUUUUUAGUAACACAACCUAUUUUUUCGUACUAAAAAUAAGGACUCUUUUUUUUCUUUUUCAAUAAAACACCCUAUUUUUCCAUUGGCACAUAAACUAUGUUGAUGCAAGAAAAACAAAAUCAAGACUCUUUUUUUUCUUUCCAUUUUUCAUGGCAAAAUAAACUAUUUUUCAUUUUCCAUUUUUGCAAUCAAGACAAACUAAAAAAAAUGACGGACUCUUUUUGAAUAAAACAAUAUUUUUAUAUUUUCUCAAAACUUUGGCUGAGUUCCAACAGUACUUGAACAUCGGUUUAAAACAUUCAAUUAACUCUCCAACUGCUAUUUUUCUCUUUUUCUCCUUUUUUCUCUUUUUUUUUUAAUUUUCUAACAUUCCCGAGAUUUAAAAGCCAGUCAACAUGCAGGUUUGAAACAAAUAAAUGCACGGAACACAAGUAGGAUGCAUCAGGACGGUCUUUUCAUUUCAGGUUGCUAGCCCUAGAUGGACCCAACCCCUAUGUUGAGUCCCCUAAGUCAAAAUGCACAUGAUGCAAACAAGCGUUCCUACUAGGGAUCCGACAUGAGGCUUUGUUAUUCUAGGUUUAAAAACCUGGGUGUUUGUUCUAGACCUGGCUUACCCGAGAGGACAGCUCGAGCCGGGGUGGAGGUUGCAAUCUGGGAAUACAGAAACUUUUUCGACUUUGCUACUCAUCCAAACCUCGUUCUAAAUUGGGAACAGCUCGAGCCGAGGAGGAGGCAGUAAUCCGAGAAUACAGAAGUUUCGCCGGCUUUGCGACUUAUCCAAACCUUGUUCUAAAUUGGGAUUUGAGACUAGACAGAAAAGAAUUCGUACACCAUACACCCUUCUUCACAGUUCAGAAGACUCAGAGAGAAGAUGGGUUUCGGCACAGUUUAUAUAUAGUUUACGUAAUAUCAAAGCGGUAAAAGCAAUCAACUAGCACAUUAAGCAUAUAUCAUGUAACAAAAUCAAAUAAAGCCAAACACAAUAAUUAUUCUAAGCUUGAAUUCUCAACCCUGAACAAAAUAUUCUGGGUUCGGUCCCCAGCAGAGUCGCCAGAGCUGUCACACCUCCUUUUUCGUUGUACGCUCCCGCAAUGGGAGCAUAAAGGAGUUUUUCCAAAUAAAGGACAAUCGGAACAUGAUUUGUUGUUAUUUAUUCAGAGUCGCCACUUGGGAGAUUAAUAGUGUCCCAAGUCACCUAUUGAAUCCAGAACCGAGGAAAAAGAUAACUAUGUUCAAAGUCUGCGAAUCAGAAAUCCGAAUAAUGAAUUCUGUUAACCCGGGAGAAGGUGUUAGGCAUUCCCGGAGUCCGUGGUUCUAGCACGGUCGCUCAACUGUUGCAUUUAGCUUUUAUCUGUUUUAUUACAUGAAGAACCUAUGUAUCAAUUUUAUGCUUAACCGCUUUUAUUUAAUAUGAUAUUUCUUUAAGAAAGUGGACGUCAUUUAAAAUGUGUUUUCGAAUUACGCCACAUCAAAUGAACCCGCAAUCCUAGACACACUCUAUUCAACGUUUUAGGAUUUAGAUUUGGGUCGCAUAAAUGCCCACCCAUAUUUAGGAAUGUAAUUUAUUAAAGUCGCGCCUAAUAGAGUCUAACGCAUUAUUAUCUUUUGGGAGGGCCGUGAGAUUCGCUAAACGGCCCUCCUCGAUUUUUUAAAUAUCUUUUAAACCUUUAUUGAAGGCCCCGCAAUUUAUAUUUUUGUUGGGCGAGGCUCCUCUCAUUUUCAUUUUACAGGAUAAACUUAAAAGUGACUAUAUUUUCUAUUUUUUGGUUUUUGUCUCUAAAAGAAAAGAAAAAUUCCUAAUUAAUUAAUUAAAAUCCGGGCCUUAAGUUCAAGUCCGGAUCCAAACAAAAGGACGAACCUUUUAGUUUAAAACCCGCUACCUAACUCAAAACCCGAAUUCCUUUAAUUUAAUUACGUAGUUCAGUUAAAGAAUAGCAAUCCAAUUCUACACACUGAAUCUACAAAGCCAUCCAUAAGCAAAUAUAAAAACUCAGACUUCAUUUUAGACCAAGCUCAACUGAAAUUGAAAUACUGAACUAGCCCGGAAUUGAGAUCGAACAAAACGGACAUCAGCUGAAAAUCAAACCUCGAGCAACAACAGACUCGAGCUUCUCAAACGACUUCCAUUUUUACUCAACAAAAUUCAGAAUCAAAGUGAAGAGACUCCAGUAUUUUACUCUCCAAGUUUAUCAGAAUUACCCUCUUUCCUAUCAAUAUUCACACAACUAUUGUCUUGAGUGAGUUUAUUUUAAAACUUUAAAAGACAUGAUGUGCGCAAACUGUGUUUGAAGAGCUAGGAAGCACAAUCACAUGAUCAAACAACACUGAAUGAGAAGCAAACAUUACUAGGCAGACGAAGACACACAGUCACAUUGUUCCAAAGGAUUCUGAGAUAAGAGGACCAGAUGAACAUUCCUUAGCACACAUAUAGAAUCAUUGAAGGAAGCUAAAAACCCUCAGUUAUUAAUUCAAACUCAGCUCAUUUUAUAUCUUAUCCAGUGGUCGAUUUACAACGGGAACUAAAGAAAAAAGAGAAAUGAACCUGGAAUUAAGAGCAUCAACUAACACCACAUUGAACUGAUUAAAGAAAGCGAACAGCAGUAGAACACCAGCUUUCGAGCAACAGCAUCCUCAAAUCUAUCGAGUGACUUCCAUUUUUAACCCAAGGUCCAGAAUUAUUAUGAAAAAAGAUGAACUCUAAAGGCUUUGAGAAAAAAAACUUUAAACACUAGUUGACAUGAACUAAAUAUCAGCACCCUCAAUGAUUAUUGUGUUGUUCUCCAUCACGAAUCAAAGAAACAAUAAAACUGAAGAAAGAAGAGAAAACAUAUCUCAAAAUCCUUGCCAAAAAAAUCUCCAAAUUCUCACGUGUUUUUCAAAAUCUAAGCCAAAAAUCCGACUCAAGAGCAAGAAGGAUUUUUUUUAAUACCUUUUUUCCUCCCAAAAAAAUCCCCCCUGACGUGAAUCAGACUUGGAUAUAUAUAUCCCUCUCACGAAGCUUCUCUUCUCUUCUUUCAGAAAAAUACGAGAAUAUUCUCUCUAAAACGAAUUCGGACAGAUGGAGAGAGGGGAUCGAUUCAAAAUCAAUCCACGGUCCCUAUUUUCAGAAUUCAUUCUCGAGAAAAUAAAUGGGAGACGAAAAUCUGUCAGAGGCCGUUAGAAUCAUGCUGAGGUGGUGAGAUAAGGUGCGCGUGAGGUGAAAUCAAGCUCAAUCGCCCGAUUUUGGGCUGGAAUUUGGUUGUUUGGGGAGGAAGAACAGGGGUUGCGUUGAUGGGGUGUUAGAGAUUAGGGUUCUCUGUAUGAUUGCGCGUGUAUUUUGUUGGAGAGUAGGUCGGGUCGGGUCAAGGGAUGGGGCAGACGGGAUUAUGGGCUCAACUGGUCUUCCCACUUAAGAC
This 10413-nucleotide long non-coding RNA is filed under the name Nicotiana benthamiana. Its description in RNAcentral is "long non-coding RNA (NBEN_LNC038127)". Lineage: Eukaryota; Viridiplantae; Streptophyta; Magnoliopsida; Solanales; Solanaceae. The record is from RNAcentral.